Molecule: ribosomal RNA, 468 nt
Filed under: uncultured bacterium
Lineage: Bacteria
Description: partial 16S ribosomal RNA
Rfam family: Bacterial small subunit ribosomal RNA
Source: RNAcentral
GACGAACGCUGGCGGCGUGCUUAACACAUGCAAGUCGAACGGAAAGGCCCUGCGUUUGUGGGGUGCUCGAGUGGCGAACGGGUGAGUAACACGUGUGUAACCUGCCCCUGACUGAGGGAUAACUUCAGGAAACUGGGGCUAAUACCGGAUAGGAGCUCCUGCUGCAUGGUGGGGGUUGGAAAGUUUCGGCGGUUGGGGAUGGACUCGCGGCUUAUCAGCUUGUUGGUGGGGUAGUGGCUUACCAAGGUUAUGACGGGUAGCCGGCCUGAGAGGGUGACCGGCCACAUUGGUACUGAGGUACGGCCCAGACGCGUACGGGAGGCAACAGUGGGGAAUAUUGCACAAUGAGCGGAAGCCUGAUGCAGCAGCGCCGCGUGCGGGAUGACGGCCUUCGGGUUGUAAACCGCUUUCGCCUGUGACGAAGCGUGAGUGACGGUAAUGAGUAAAGAAGCACCGGCUAACUACGUG